UACGUAGGGUGCGAGCGUUGUCCGGAAUUACUGGGCGUAAAGAGCUCGUAGGUGGUUUGUCGCGUUGUUCGUGAAAACUCACAACUCAAUUGUGGGCGUGCGGGCGAUACGGGCAGACUGGAGUACUGGAGGGGAGACUGGAAUUCCUGGUGUAGCGGUGGAAUGCGCAGAUAUCAGGAGGAACACCGGUGGCGAAGGCGGGUCUCUGGGCAGUAACUGACGCUGAGGAGCGAAAGCGUGGGGAGCGAACAGG
Molecule: ribosomal RNA, 253 nt
Filed under: uncultured bacterium
Lineage: Bacteria
Description: partial 16S ribosomal RNA
Rfam family: Bacterial small subunit ribosomal RNA
Source: RNAcentral